GUACUGCAUCAUAUCAAUAAUCUUAUCUAUAAAAGGAGUAAAAUUUGCUACAUUGAAUAUACCAUAGAGGAAAUUGAAUUAAUGAAGAAGUAGAAGAUGACACUUUGUUGGUGACUUUGAUCUCAAAAGAGUGCUUAUCAAUAUUGUUUGUUUAAUUUAUUACGGAAUAUCAAGCAUUAUUAUCAUCACUAUAUGGACACAUGGCAUUAUACUCUUGGGACCAAAGUCACCAACAGAGUGUCAAAUUUCUCAUCAUUCCGAGCUCAAACACAGCGACGGAGCCAGAAUUCUCAUCGAAGAAAAUAUCAAAAUAUUUUCUUAAUUAAUGAUCUCUAUUGUUUUGUUGUUUUUUAGUAGUGCCUUGUUAUUUUCUUUGGAGAAUGUAACCAGCUAGAUGUAAUCCCCACAUAUAUGUAAUAUAAUAAAUCAAUCCCCUACCUUUUGGGGGUAUGUUUACUAAGCUAUGCAACAUAAAGUAACACUUUAUUUUGUUCU
Long non-coding RNA from Solanum lycopersicum (tomato), 495 nucleotides. RefSeq lists it as uncharacterized. NCBI's taxonomy places the organism in Eukaryota, Viridiplantae, Streptophyta, Magnoliopsida, Solanales, Solanaceae. The record is from RefSeq and is a predicted model, not a curated record.